Molecule: ribosomal RNA, 406 nt
Filed under: uncultured bacterium
Lineage: Bacteria
Description: partial 16S ribosomal RNA
Rfam family: Bacterial small subunit ribosomal RNA
Source: RNAcentral
AUUGAACGCUGGCGGCAGGCCUAACACAUGCAAGUCGAACGAGUGGCGGACGGGUGAGUAAUGUCUGGGAAACUGCCUGAGGGAGGGGGAUAACUACUGGAAACGGUAGCUAAUACCGCAUACCAUCGGAUGUGCCCAGAUGGGAUUCGCUAGUAGGUGGGGUAACGGCUCACAUAGUCGACGCUCCCUAGCUGGUUUGAGAGGAGGACCAGCCACACUGGAACGGAGACACGGGCCAGACGCCUACGGGAGGCAGCAGUGGGGAAUAUUGCAGAAUGGGCGAAAGCCUGAUGCAGCCAUGCCGCGUGUAUGAAGAAGGCCUUCGGGUUGUAAAGUACUUUCAGCGGGGAGGCGUUACCCGCAGAAGAAGCACCGGCUAACUCCGUGCCAGCAGCCGCGGUAAUUC